UACGGGGGGAGCAAGCGUUGUUCGGAUUUACUGGGCGUAAAGGGCGCGUAGGCGGUCAGCACAAGUCAGUUGUGAAAUCUCCGGGCUUAACUCGGAAAGGUCGACUGAUACUGUGCGACUAGAGUGCAGAAGGGGCAACUGGAAUUCUCGGUGUAGCGGUGAAAUGCGUAGAUAUCGAGAGGAACACCUGCGGCGAAGGCGGGUUGCUGGGCUGACACUGACGCUGAUGCGCGAAAGCCAGGGGAGCGAACGGG
RNAcentral lists this ribosomal RNA (254 nucleotides) under uncultured bacterium. RNAcentral describes it as "partial 16S ribosomal RNA". It matches the Rfam family "Bacterial small subunit ribosomal RNA", at positions 524 to 776 of the family's 1533-position model. The record is from RNAcentral.